AUUGGUAUAGCAUAAGAAGUGCAUUUGUUUUAAGCGCAAAAGAUAUACGCCAAUA
RNAcentral lists this transfer RNA (55 nucleotides) under Pristionchus pacificus. RNAcentral describes it as "tRNA-Leu". The record is from RNAcentral. Lineage: Eukaryota; Metazoa; Nematoda; Chromadorea; Rhabditida; Neodiplogasteridae.